Molecule: ribosomal RNA, 332 nt
Filed under: uncultured eukaryote
Lineage: Eukaryota
Description: partial 18S ribosomal RNA
Rfam family: Eukaryotic small subunit ribosomal RNA
Source: RNAcentral
CCCUUAGAUGUUCUGGGCUGCACACGUGCUACACUGGCAGGUUCAGCGAGCUUCAUGCCCUGAUCUGAAAGGAAUGGGAAAUCUUUUCAAAACCUGCCGUGCUUGGGAUAGAUGUUUGCAAUUAUUCAUCUUCAACGAGGAUUGCCUUGUAAGCGCACGUCAUCAGCGUGCAUUGAAUACGACCCUGUAUUCUGUACACACCGCCCGUCGCUCCUACCGAUUGAAGUUUUCGGUGAGUUGACAGGAGGAUUUUUUUGAAACUGGUUCGCCAGUGGAUUUUAGAUGCAAAUGCCAACGAAUCGAUGGCUUUAGAGGAAGGAGAAGUCGUAACA